Long non-coding RNA from Psammomys obesus (fat sand rat), 127 nucleotides. RefSeq lists it as uncharacterized. NCBI's taxonomy places the organism in Eukaryota, Metazoa, Chordata, Mammalia, Rodentia, Muridae. The transcript has 3 exons. The record is from RefSeq and is a predicted model, not a curated record.
CUUUGCUCUCGCUCCGCCUCCAGCCCUGCCCUCCACCCCAACCCAAGAUGGCGGAGAUCCCCUUGUACUUUGUGGACUUGAAGGAUGACUUAGAAGACUAGUUAUAGUGACAGGAUGACAUGUUGAA